This 599-nucleotide ribosomal RNA is filed under the name Salmonella enterica. Its description in RNAcentral is "partial 23S ribosomal RNA". It matches the Rfam family "Bacterial large subunit ribosomal RNA", at positions 590 to 1190 of the family's 2925-position model. Lineage: Bacteria; Pseudomonadati; Pseudomonadota; Gammaproteobacteria; Enterobacterales; Enterobacteriaceae. RNAcentral also lists the same sequence under 1 other name. The record is from RNAcentral.
GGGGUGACUGCGUACCUUUUGUAUAAUGGGUCAGCGACUUAUAUUCUGUAGCAAGGUUAACCGAAUAGGGGAGCCGGAGGGAAACCGAGUCUUAAUUGGGCGUUAAGUUGCAGGGUAUAGACCCGAAACCCGGUGAUCUAGCCAUGGGCAGGUUGAAGGUUGGGUAACACUAACUGGAGGACCGAACCGACUAAUGUUGAAAAAUUAGCGGAUGACCUGUGGCUGGGGGUGAAAGGCCAAUCAAACCGGGAGAUAGCUGGUUCUCCCCGAAAGCUAUUUAGGUAGCGCCUCGUGAAUUCAUCUCCGGGGGUAGAGCACUGUUUCGGCUAGGGGGCCAUCCCGGCUUACCAACCCGAUGCAAACUGCGAAUACCGGAGAAUGUUAUCACGGGAGACACACGGCGGGUGCUAACGUCCGUCGUGAAGAGGGAAACAACCCAGACCGCCAGCUAAGGUCCCAAAGUCAUGGUUAAGUGGGAAACGAUGUGGGAAGGCCCAGACAGCCAGGAUGUUGGCUUAGAAGCAGCCAUCAUUUAAAGAAAGCGUAAUAGCUCACUGGUCGAGUCGGCCUGCGCGGAAGAUGUAACGGGGCUAAACCAU